ACUGAACGCUGGCGGCAUGCCUUACACAUGCAAGUCGAACGGUAACAGGUCUUCGGACGCUGACGAGUGGCGAACGGGUGAGUAAUACAUCGGAACGUGCCCAGUCGUGGGGGAUAACUACUCGAAAGAGUAGCUAAUACCGCAUACGAUCUGAGGAUGAAAGCGGGGGACCUUCGGGCCUCGCGCGAUUGGAGCGGCCGAGGGCAGAUUAGGUAGUUGGUGGGAUAAAAGCUUACCAAGCCGACGAUCUGUAGCUGGUCUGAGAGGACGACCAGCCACACUGGGACUGAGACACGGCCCAGACUCCUACGGGAGGCAGCAGUGGGGAAUUUUGGACAAUGGGCGGAAGCCUGAUCCAGCAAUGCCGCGUGCAGGAUGAAGGCCUUCGGGUUGUAAACUGCUUUUGUACGGAACGAAAAAGCUCCUUCUAAUACAGGGGGCCCAUGACGGUACCGUAAGAAUAAGCACCGGCUAACUACGUGCCAGCAGCCGCCGUAA
Molecule: ribosomal RNA, 498 nt
Filed under: uncultured bacterium
Lineage: Bacteria
Description: partial 16S ribosomal RNA
Rfam family: Bacterial small subunit ribosomal RNA
Source: RNAcentral